RNAcentral lists this ribosomal RNA (253 nucleotides) under uncultured bacterium. RNAcentral's name for it is "partial 16S ribosomal RNA". It matches the Rfam family "Bacterial small subunit ribosomal RNA", at positions 524 to 776 of the family's 1533-position model. The record is from RNAcentral.
UACGGAGGGGGCAAGCGUUGUCCGGAAUUACUGGGCGUAAAGGGUGCGUAGGCGGUCUUGUGCGUCGGUGGUGAAAGCGCCCGGCUUAACCGGGCGAGGCGUGCCGAUACGAUAAGACUGGAGGGGCAGCGAGGGUGGCGGAACUCCUGGUGUAGUGGUGAAAUGCGCAGAUAUCAGGAGGAACACCGGUGGCGAAGGCGGGUCUCUGGGCCGUAACUGACGCUGAGGAGCGAAAGCGUGGGGAGCGAACAGG